Molecule: long non-coding RNA, 735 nt
Organism: Mastomys coucha (southern multimammate mouse)
Lineage: Eukaryota; Metazoa; Chordata; Mammalia; Rodentia; Muridae
Exons: 3
Source: RefSeq, a predicted model, not a curated record
AGCACCCAUCAUAAGCUCACAUUGGUGCUGAUGUUGACAGACUAAUUUUAGUGCCCGCUUAAUCAUUCAUGCAAACAGACGUCAAUGAAAUAGCCUUGUCCAGGUGUCCCUCAAGGAACUUACCAUCUUAAGAGAAGGAAAUGGCUGGUUUUCAGAAAAGGCAUUUUCCUCCUCAGAGAAAGAUUCUGAAAUUUCAAAUUAUAAAAGCAUGAAGCAUGGCUAUGGAAAGAAGAAUCACUAAGGAUAGUCCUGACCAACCUUUCCAUAGGUGAGGAAACUGAGACCCAGAGGAAACGGAGCAGCUUGCAAGAACAACAAUCAAAAGAGUGAUAACAAAGAGGCCAAAAUGCUUUCUGCAUUGAAUUCUCCCUCCUGACUUUCAAUUUUUAAUACUUUUUUCAUUAUGCACCCAGUAUAUCAAAAAGAUUGAACGUUAUCUCAGGAAGGCCCUUGUUUCUAUUGAAUCAGUAAUUGCUAUCAUCACCACUUCAUUUAAUUCUACAGAGGAAGAGAAAGACGCAAGAGAGGAAAGGAACAGGAGGAGGAGGAGGAAAGGAUGGAGAGCACCAGGGUCUGGAGCUCCCAGGAUAACUGGGAUAAAGGCCAAUUCUAGAAAUCAUUUUCUGCUUAUGUCAUUUUCCUCUCACCACAAAUCACUUCUGUUUUAUCAACUUGAAAGCAAUCCCUACAGUAUGAAAGCUUAAAGGAAAUAAUAAAAAUACAUGCACCUAGAAA